CGAUCUCUAGACAGAUGGAUCUUAUAUGAAUCAUAUGAUGAAGUACCACAUGAGUGGAUAUAUAGGAAAGGAAUCCAAAUCUGCCGAAUCGCUCAUGUUAUGAUCUUCUACAUCCUAGGUCUCUGCGUUCCGUCAUCUGGCUUAUGUUCUUCAUGUAGCAUUCAGAUCGAAUGA
Molecule: ribosomal RNA, 174 nt
Filed under: Triticum aestivum (bread wheat)
Lineage: Eukaryota; Viridiplantae; Streptophyta; Magnoliopsida; Poales; Poaceae
Description: partial small subunit ribosomal RNA
Source: RNAcentral